Pelobates cultripes (western spadefoot toad) is the source of this 252-nucleotide non-coding RNA. The record is from the annotation of a GenBank genome assembly. NCBI's taxonomy places the organism in Eukaryota, Metazoa, Chordata, Amphibia, Anura, Pelobatidae.
CCCUUCCCCUCUAUUUCCCCCCCCAUUCCCCUCUAUUUGUCCCCCCCUUCCCCUCUAUUUGUCUCCCCCUUCCCCUCUUUGUCUCCCUCUUCCCCUCUAUUUGUCCCCCCCAUUCCCCUCUUUGUCUCCCUCCUUCCCCUGUAUUUGUCCCCCCAUUCCCCUCUUUGUCUCCCUCCUUCCCCUCUAUUUGUCUCCCCCCCUUUCCCUCUAUUUGUCCCCCCAUUCCCCUUUAUUUGUCUCCCCAUUCCCUCU